GACGAACGCUGGCGGCGUGCUUAACACAUGCAAGUCGAACGGUAAGGCCCUUCGGGGUACACGAGUGGCGAACGGGUGAGUAACACGUGGGUGAUCUGCCCUGCACUUCGGGAUAAGCCUGGGAAACUGGGUCUAAUACCGGAUAGGACCCUGGGAUGCAUGUCCUGGGGUGGAAAGCUUUUGCGGUGUGGGAUGGGCCCGCGGCCUAUCAGCUUGUUGGUGGGGUGAUGGCCUACCAAGGCGACGACGGGUAGCCGGCCUGAGAGGGUAACCGGCCACCCUGGGACUGAGUUACGGCCCAGACUCCUACGGGAGGCAGCAGUGGGGAAUAUUGCACAAUGGGCGCAAGCCUGAUGCAGCGACGCCGCGUGAGGGAUGACGGCCUUCGGGUUGUAAACCUCUUUCAGCACCGACGAAGCGCAAGUGACGGUAGGUGCAGAAGAAGGACCGGCCAACUACGUGCCAGCAGCCGCAGUAA
Molecule: ribosomal RNA, 478 nt
Filed under: uncultured bacterium
Lineage: Bacteria
Description: partial 16S ribosomal RNA
Rfam family: Bacterial small subunit ribosomal RNA
Source: RNAcentral